CCUACGGGAGGCAGCAGUGAGGAAUAUUGGUCAAUGGGCGAGAGCCUGAACCAGCCAAGUCGCGUGAAGGAUGACGGCCCUACGGGUUGUAAACUUCUUUUGUCAGGGAGCAAGGGAGUCCACGUGUGGGCUUAGCGAGAGGACCUGAAGAAAAAGCAGCGGCUAACUCCGUGCCAGCAGCCGCGGUAAUACGGAGGAUGCGAGCGUUAUCCGGAUUGAUGGGGUUGAAGGGGUGCGUAGGCGGAAUAUCAAGUCAGCGGUAAAACUUCGGGGCUCAACCCCGUCGUGCCGUUGAAACUGCUGUUCUUGAGUGGGCGAGAAGUAUGCGGAAUGCGUGGUGUAGCGG
Molecule: ribosomal RNA, 346 nt
Filed under: uncultured bacterium
Lineage: Bacteria
Description: partial 16S ribosomal RNA
Rfam family: Bacterial small subunit ribosomal RNA
Source: RNAcentral